This 24-nucleotide non-coding RNA is filed under the name Cricetulus griseus (Chinese hamster). Lineage: Eukaryota; Metazoa; Chordata; Mammalia; Rodentia; Cricetidae. The record is from RNAcentral.
AACAAGAAAGAUGAAGAACGAAGA